This 244-nucleotide ribosomal RNA is filed under the name uncultured bacterium. RNAcentral describes it as "partial 16S ribosomal RNA". It matches the Rfam family "Bacterial small subunit ribosomal RNA", at positions 15 to 252 of the family's 1533-position model. The record is from RNAcentral.
GAUCAUGGCUCAGGAUGAACGCUGGCGGCGUGCCUAACACAUGCAAGUCGAACGGACUUUUCAUGAAGCCUAGCGAUUGAAAAGUUAGUGGCGGACGGGUGAGUAACGCGUGGGUAACCUGCCUUGUACUGGGGGACAACAGUUGGAAACGACUGCUAAUACCGCAUAAGCGCACAGCUUCGCAUGAAGCAGUGUGAAAAACUCCGGUGGUACAAGAUGGACCCGNGUCUGAUUAGCUGGUUGG